AGGUUAUAUGGAAGAAAAAAAGGUUAGCACCCCCAUGAUAAAAAUGGAAAACAUCUUAGAGACCCAAGCAACAUGCUAAUGCAUUGCCACCUGUUUUU
This 98-nucleotide non-coding RNA is filed under the name Nomascus leucogenys (northern white-cheeked gibbon). The record is from RNAcentral. Lineage: Eukaryota; Metazoa; Chordata; Mammalia; Primates; Hylobatidae.